AAAAUUAAUUAUCUUCUCGUACAGAAUUCGAAUGAUGUCCUCGUUUGUUUCUCUUGAAAAUAGACUCAUUCAGGAUUCUAAACAUAUAAAUUUAAGCCCCUAAUUGUUUUUAUCCAAUUUUUUAUGAUUUUUCAAAUUCAGAACAGGGGAACCCGAAAUCAUUCUGACCUUGUCUCACAAAAUUUAUCAUAUAUCAUGAUUUACAAUUCCAUUGCUUACAUAAUUUCUUCUAUAAGAAACUAGACUC
RNAcentral lists this long non-coding RNA (247 nucleotides) under Gossypium barbadense (sea-island cotton). Its description in RNAcentral is "long non-coding RNA (GBAR_LNC012012)". Lineage: Eukaryota; Viridiplantae; Streptophyta; Magnoliopsida; Malvales; Malvaceae. The record is from RNAcentral.